ACUGGGCUCAGUUACGUGGGCCUGUAACCCAAGUGGGAGUAAUAAAAUAGUGGGAGAUUAUUAUAUGAAAAAAGGUGGAUGUCAUAUUGUAUUUGGGGGUAGUAAGGUCUAAUAUGAGGACCAGUCCAAAUACCACUCUGGUAGAGUUUAAAACCCUCUACCCGUUUGGGUAUUCUCUCAACUGACUUAACAGAGCAGUUGCAGCAGGAGUUCACUAUCUUUGGUGGCAUUAAGGUGGAUCUCAUAUUAGACAUCUAUGCUCCAAAUACCUUCCACCCUUAUAAUAACAACCAUUAUCUUU
RNAcentral lists this non-coding RNA (301 nucleotides) under Solanum tuberosum (potato). Lineage: Eukaryota; Viridiplantae; Streptophyta; Magnoliopsida; Solanales; Solanaceae. The record is from RNAcentral.